RNAcentral lists this long non-coding RNA (606 nucleotides) under Nothobranchius furzeri (turquoise killifish). RNAcentral's name for it is "lncRNA (ENSNFUG00015004687.1)". Lineage: Eukaryota; Metazoa; Chordata; Actinopteri; Cyprinodontiformes; Nothobranchiidae. The record is from RNAcentral.
AUGCCUUUUUUUACAUUCAGCUUAGAGAAAAAACAGUUGAGGAGACAGUACAAACUGGACGUCAGCCCCAGCAGGAAGCAGCAGCCUGAUCCAAGCAGAGGGCAGCCUGAGCUGGAGGACACGAGCAAAUGGAAAAGAGACAGCAGAGGAUCCACGCAUCCACUCAACAGACCCUUCUCCAUCCCAUUAGACCCUAAAACACGCAUCAACUCACCCACCAGCCCCCUUCAUCCCUACGCAGAUAUCCAGGGAACGACGAGGAAAGAUGAGAGGCUGAAGGAAAGAGUUAAUGUAGUGGUUCCUACAGAUGAGACGAGCCUCGAAGUACGGCGAAGAAGAGAAAAGAGAGAUGAUUUUUUUCGUAAAGGGAAGUCUAUGUCUGCUGAUGAACUGUCGAAGACCAGCUCUUCUGGCUCUGAAAGCUCACCUUCUGCCACUGAGACAGGUGCAGAAACUGAUAGUUCAUGUUUGAGCCUACCCACCAGAGCCACCUAUGACAAUGCAGGUCAACACGGCUCUAACCAGUCACAUCCCACUACUCCUGAACGGUAUAGAGUAAAGUAUAAUGGUGUAUACGAUAUUGUUAUUUUUCUUUUCUCGCUAUAA